AGACACCUAAAUGCCACUUCAGAAGCGCUUCUGUGCCAUCUUUGCAAUGUAAAUUUGACACUAUAAUUUUAAUUUAUUUUGGUAAU
Sinocyclocheilus rhinocerous is the source of this 86-nucleotide long non-coding RNA. RefSeq lists it as uncharacterized. NCBI's taxonomy places the organism in Eukaryota, Metazoa, Chordata, Actinopteri, Cypriniformes, Cyprinidae. The transcript has 3 exons. The record is from RefSeq and is a predicted model, not a curated record.